GAUGAAGAACGUAGCGAAAUGCGAUAAGUAGUGUGAAUUGCAGAAUUCAGUGAAUCAUCGAAUCUUUGAACGCACAUUGCGCCUUCUAGUAUUCUGGGAGGCAUGCCUGUUUGAGCGUCAUUAAACCUCUCUCAAGUAUGAUUACUUGGAUGUGAAGGAAGAGUACCUUAAACUUAAGGAGUGUUCUCCUUUGAAAUUGAUUAGCAGAUGGUAAUGUUAUUAAAUCCCUGAUGUUGUAAGAAAUAACAGUGGUUUUGUAGACUAUUAUCUAGCUUUAAAUUAUAAUUUUUAUUAUGGUUGACCUCAAAUCAGGUAAGGAUACCCGCUGAACUUAAGCAUAUCAAUAAGCGUAGGA
Molecule: unclassified non-coding RNA, 355 nt
Filed under: soil metagenome
Description: partial contains 5.8S ribosomal RNA, internal transcribed spacer 2, and large subunit ribosomal RNA
Rfam family: 5.8S ribosomal RNA (bases 1-120)
Source: RNAcentral